GAUUAACGCUGGCGGCGUGCUUAACACAUGCAAGUCGAGCGGUAAGGCCCUUUCGGGGGUACACGAGCGGCGAACGGGUGAGUAACACGUGAGCAACCUGCCCCGAAGACUGGGAUAACACCGGGAAACCGGUGCUAAUACCGGAUGCCCUCCUCUGGUCGCAUGGCCUAGGGAGGAAAUGAAUUUUGCUUCGGGAGGGGCUCGCGGGCUAUCAGCUUGUUGGUGGGGGUAACGGCUCACCAAGGCGACGACGGCUAGCUGGUCUGAGAGGACGACCAGCCACACUGGGACUGAGACACGGCCCAGACUCCUACGGGAGGCAGCAGUGGGGAAUCUUGCGCAAUGGGCGAAAGCCUGACGCAGCAACGCCGCGUGGGGGA
RNAcentral lists this ribosomal RNA (380 nucleotides) under uncultured bacterium. RNAcentral's name for it is "bacterial SSU rRNA". It matches the Rfam family "Bacterial small subunit ribosomal RNA", at positions 28 to 408 of the family's 1533-position model. The record is from RNAcentral.